CCCUUAGAUGCUCUGGGCCGCACGCGCGCUACACUGACCGAUGCACUGAGUUUCUUUCCUUGGCCGACAGGCCUGGGCAAUCUUUGAACAUCGGUCGUGAUGGGGAUAGAUUCUUGUAAUUUUUGAUCUUCAACGAGGAAUUCCUAGUAAACGCAAGUCAUCAGCUUGCAUUGAUUACGUCCCUGCCCUUUGUACACACCGCCCGUCGCACCUACCGAUUGAAUCGUCCGGUGAAAUCUCCGGACUGGCGCGAGUCCAAGUUCUUGGACGAGUGCUGGAAAGUUGAUUAAACCUUACGAUUUAGAGGAAGGUGAAGUCGUAACA
This 324-nucleotide ribosomal RNA is filed under the name uncultured eukaryote. Its description in RNAcentral is "partial 18S ribosomal RNA". It matches the Rfam family "Eukaryotic small subunit ribosomal RNA", at positions 1470 to 1796 of the family's 1831-position model. The record is from RNAcentral.